CAGUCGCCGCGGUAAUACGUAGGGUCCGAGCGUUGUCCGGAAUUAUUGGGCGUAAAGGGCUCGUAGGCGGUUUGUUGCGUCGGGAGUGAAAACCCAGGGCUUAACUUUGGGCUUGCUUUCGAUACGGGCAGACUUGAGGCAUUGAGGGGAGAACGGAAUUCCUGGUGUAGCGGUGAAAUGCGCAGAUAUCAGGAGGAACACCGGUGGCGAAGGCGGUUCUCUGGCAAUGUUCUGACGCUGAGGAGCGAAAGUGUGGGGAGCGAACAGGAUUAGAUACCCCAGUAGUCCCUGUCUCUUAUAC
RNAcentral lists this ribosomal RNA (301 nucleotides) under uncultured bacterium. RNAcentral's name for it is "partial 16S ribosomal RNA". It matches the Rfam family "Bacterial small subunit ribosomal RNA", at positions 509 to 807 of the family's 1533-position model. The record is from RNAcentral.